UACAGAGGGUGCGAGCGUUGUUCGGAAUUAUUGGGCGUAAAGGGCGCGUAGGCGGUGCGGUAAGUCACCUGUGAAAUCUCCUGGCUCAACUGGGAGCUUGCAGGCGAAACUGCCGUGCUGGAGUGUGGGAGAGGUGCGUGGAAUUCCUGGUGUAGCGGUGAAAUGCGUAGAGAUCCGGAGGAACACCAGUGGCGAAAGCGGCCACCUGGACUGUACCUGACGCUGAAACGCGAAAGCUAGGGAAGCGAACGGG
This 253-nucleotide ribosomal RNA is filed under the name uncultured bacterium. Its description in RNAcentral is "partial 16S ribosomal RNA". It matches the Rfam family "Bacterial small subunit ribosomal RNA", at positions 524 to 776 of the family's 1533-position model. The record is from RNAcentral.